AUUCCAGCUCCAAUAGCGUAUGUCAAAGUUGUUGCGGUUAAAAAGCUCGUAGUUGGAUCUCGGUGUCGGGCUGGUGGCGCGCCCGUAGUGGCGAUCUACUGCCAGUUCCCCGGCGAAAAGAGGCCGGCAGUUUUUCCCUUGGUGCUCUUGACUGAGUGUCUCGGGUGGCCGGAACGUUUACUGUGAAAAAAUUAGAGUGCUCAAAGCAGGCCUUCGUGCCCGAAUAUUGGUGCAUGGAAUAAUGGAGGACGACCUCGGCUCCACUUUGUUGGUUUACGGUGCUCGAGGUAAUGACUAAGAGAGACUGCCGGGGGCAUACGUACUGCGGCGCGAGAGGUGAAAUUCUGUGACCGUCGCAGGACGAACGAAAGCGAAGGCAUUUGCCAAGAAUGUUUUCAUUA
Molecule: ribosomal RNA, 401 nt
Filed under: Cerastoderma sp.
Lineage: Eukaryota; Metazoa; Mollusca; Bivalvia; Cardiida; Cardiidae
Description: partial small subunit ribosomal RNA
Rfam family: Eukaryotic small subunit ribosomal RNA
Source: RNAcentral